UACGGGGGGGGCAAGCGUUGUUCGGAAUUACUGGGCGUAAAGGGCUCGUAGGCGGCCAACUAAGUCAUACGUGAAAUCCCUCGGCUUAACCGGGGAACUGCGUCUGAUACUGGAUGGCUUGAGUUCGGGAGAGGGAUGCGGAAUUCCAGGUGUAGCGGUGAAAUGCGUAGAUAUCAGGAAGAACACCGGUGGCGAAGGCGGCUUGCUGGGCGUAGUCUGACGCUGAGGCGCGAAAGCGUGGGGAGCGAACAGG
RNAcentral lists this ribosomal RNA (253 nucleotides) under uncultured bacterium. RNAcentral describes it as "partial 16S ribosomal RNA". It matches the Rfam family "Bacterial small subunit ribosomal RNA", at positions 524 to 776 of the family's 1533-position model. The record is from RNAcentral.